AGGACGAACGCUGGCGGAAUGCUUAACACAUGCAAGUCGAGCGAGAACCAGUCCUUCGGGACUGGGGACAGCGGCGAACGGGUGAGUAACACGUGGAUAACCUGCCCUCGGCACCGGGAAUAAGCUUGGGAAACUGAGUCUAAUGCCGGAUAGCCUGCCGCCCUUUCGAGGGCAGCAGAAAAGGUAGCUUCGGCCUCUGGCCGAGGAUGGGUCCGCGGCUGAUUAGCUUGGUUGGUGGGGUAACGCCUACCAAGGCGACGAUCAGUAGCUGGUCUGAGAGGACGAUCAGCCACGACUGGGACUGAGACACGGCCAGACUCCGUACGGGAGGCAGCAGGUGGGAAUCUGCGCAAGUGGGACGAAA
RNAcentral lists this ribosomal RNA (364 nucleotides) under uncultured soil bacterium. RNAcentral's name for it is "bacterial SSU rRNA". It matches the Rfam family "Bacterial small subunit ribosomal RNA", at positions 26 to 380 of the family's 1533-position model. The record is from RNAcentral.